UCUCUCUUGCUCAAUGACACUCAACUGUCCCCCUCUACACUGAAUAUCCUGUCUGACCUUUACAGAAAAUCUCAUCUCUUGCUAAAACAGCUUCUAUGAAGUUAGACGUUCUGAGGCAACUCAUUCAGUUUCUGUCACCCACCCAACUGCUAACUCUGUACAAGAGCCUUAUCUGUCUAUGUAUGGAGUAUUCUUUGCAUGUGUCAGGGGGGGUUCCAUUCAUAGUUUUCUUAUAUAAGGUGGAAUCAAAAGAUUUUUGUCUUAUCAAUUCCUCUGGUCUAACUGACUGUCUUCAGCUUCUUUCUCACUGCCACAAUGUUGCAUCUCUUGCUAUCUUCCAUCAUAAUUUUAAUGCCAACUGUUUUUCUGAACUUUUUAACUGUAUGUGUCCCCUUCUCCCAUGGUCUCACAGCACAAGACUUUCAUUUCCUCUUACUGAUAUUCUGUCCACCUCUCUAAUGCAAGAGUUAACCAGUAGGGGAGAGUGGGGCACGUUGAACAUAGGGGCACAUUGAACCAUUGGAUUUUUCAGGAAUAGUUUGUCUCCCAAUCAGCAGAUGUCUCUUGUGUACAACGCUCUUCAGAAGCUCCACUCAAGCACCAGUUGAGUGGCAGCCUUCAUUGAGGGAGGACGUGCUGGUUUUUUUUUUUUUUAAUAUUUGACCUACUUUGUUCAUCUGUUGAGGUAAGUACCAAACCUUCUAACACUUUCCACAUAACUGAUGCUUAUGAUCAAAUUAUUCGAGUGAGUUACGUGGUAAGUGAAGUUUAUUACAGGAUACCAAACAAAUUUGAAUUCAACUUUGCUAUUCUCUGAAACACAUGUUUUUGUAAUGGCUGGAAAUGGGGCACUUUGAACCAUUAAAAUAGGGGCACAUUGAAAUAUGGUUCAAUGUGCCCCACAAUACUGUUCAAUGUACCCCAUAGCAUUGUAAUUGAUUUGUUCUUAUUUAUAGGCCUACUGUUAUGAUUUUCAUUAUUAUUAUUAUUAUUGUUAUUAUUAUUGAAAAUUAUUAUUAUUAUUAUUAAUUAUUAUUAUUAUUAUUAUUAUUAUUAUUAUUAUUAGGUAAUGUUCUAGUUGUUGUACAUACUGACUAUUAAUAGAAAAUAAUAGGCUAAGUGGUUCCUAAUGUUUAACAUCUAAUGAAUGAGCUUGAUGUUGUUUUCAUUUCAGGAAAUGGUGCGAAAGUAUCUUGCAAAAACUGAUCGAGGAAGAGCCGAUGGGAACUUAAUGGAGAGAGCUGUUGACGAAGUUGUCAAAGGAAAGUCCAUCAGGGAAGUUAGUCGUUUGCUGGAUGUAAACCGGAUUACAUUGUCAAGAUAUGUUAAGAAAUUCCAAGCAGGGCAAGCUGAAAAAACAAAAGACUAUGCUCCUAACUACAAUACCAGACAAGUAUUUACUGAAGAAGAAGAAGACGGACUUUCUGAAUAUAUCGUAACUUGCUCCCAGUUGUUUCAUGGCCUUGGCUUGACAGCAGUAAGACGACUUGCAUUUGAAUAUGCAAUGAAGAGAGAUAAAACUUGCCCAGAUUCUUGGAAACAUAACUGUAUGGCAGGAAAGGACUGGAUGGCUGGAUUUAUGAAGAGAAGUUACAAAAGUUACGAAAAGCACAGAAAAAAAUAGUUGUUGAGGAUGAAAGUUCAGAUGAUGAAGUGGAAAACAUAUCAAUGCAUGGGGAAUCAAGUGAAUAUGAAGAGGAUUUUGCUGAUGAUCAGACAGAUGAUCAGUCAAGAAAAGACCCAGAGGAUGAAGACUAUGUUCUUAUCAAAUUGAAGCUUGAAAAUUCAGAGAAUAAAUGGGUAUUUUAUGUUGGCCAAAUAAAAGAAAGGAUUAAGGAUGAAGAAGAAACAUGUUAUGAUGUUGAUUUUACCGACAGUCUAAGAAGUUACCUGGAAGGUUCGUCAAACCAGCUAAUGAGGAUAGAGCAAAAGUCAUGAAAAAUGAAAUAGUUAUGUGUCUGCCCAAACCUAUCACUACUGGUGGUACCAAGCGAGUGCAGUCAAUGUUGAAGUUUCCUCUAAACUUGGAGGAAUAUAAAUGUCACUAGAUUUCUUUUAUAUAAUUUCUUGAAGAUUUAGUUGUCUUUAGCACUUACAAUUAUGUGAUAUGACUAGUCCAGUCAGGUAGGCAAGUGCGGCUUACAUUAUGAGUCAUUCAUACCAAGAAGAGUAUUAGAUUUAUUUGUCUUAGCACUUAUUAUUUUGUGAUACUAGUCCAGUCAGGUAGGCAAAUGCUGCUUACAUUAUGAGUCAUUCAUACCAAGGAGAGUAGGUAUUAUAGCGUUUAUUUUACAUGUUUACCUUCUACAUUAAGCAUGCCAUGUACGAUUAUAAUAAAAAGGAACUUUAUAUUUUGUAUACAUCAAAAGAGGGAGAAAAUAUGUGUAUUCUGAAUGAAUUAUUAAAAUAUUUUUAUUUCUAGA
This 2423-nucleotide long non-coding RNA is filed under the name Portunus trituberculatus (swimming crab). Its description in RNAcentral is "uncharacterized LOC123514580, transcript variant X1". The record is from RNAcentral. Lineage: Eukaryota; Metazoa; Arthropoda; Malacostraca; Decapoda; Portunidae.